RNAcentral lists this ribosomal RNA (639 nucleotides) under uncultured fungus. RNAcentral describes it as "eukaryotic LSU rRNA". It matches the Rfam family "Eukaryotic large subunit ribosomal RNA", at positions 24 to 664 of the family's 3401-position model. Lineage: Eukaryota; Fungi. The record is from RNAcentral.
CCCGCUGAACUUAAGCAUAUCAGUAAGCGGAGGAAAAGAAACUAACCAGGAUUCCCAUAGUAACGGCGAGUGAAGUGGGAAAAGCUCAAAUUUAAAAUCGGGGUGCUCUUUAUGGGUCCUCGAAUUGUAAUUGAGAGAACAUGCUUUUGGUCAUGAAAGAUGGUCAAAGUGCUCUGGAAAGGGACAACAAAGAGGGUGACAUUCCCGUCUGGGUCAUCCUUUCAUGGUCAGUUCAAAGCAUGUUCUAAGAGUCGGAUUGUUUGGGAAUGCAGUCCUAAAUGGGUGGUACAUGUCAUCUAAAGCUAAAUAAUGGCAAGAGACCGAUAGCGAACAAGUACCGUGAGGGAAAGAUGAAAAGAACUUUGAAAAGAGAGUUAAACAGUACGUGAAAUUGUUAAAAGGGAAACGAUUGAGACCAGUGAUGCCGUGUGUCUGAGAGCCUGGCCUUUGGGUGAGGUGUUAAGGCACACAGCAAGUGGACGCUUCUUUUUCUGACUGGAAAAGGCCAAGGGAAAGAUGGCUCUACUCUUUUGAGUAGCUGCUUUAUAGUCCCUUGGAGAUACAGUCAAGGAGAGAAGACAGGUAGGGUGUAAGCCCACGUCGACGAAAUGGUCUUAAACGACCCGUCUUGAAACACGG